AGUGAACGCUGGCGGUAGGCCUAACACAUGCAAGUCGAACGGCAGCACAGUAAGAGCUUGCUCUUACGGGUGGCGAGUGUCGGACGGGUGAGGAAUACAUCGGAAUCUACUUUUUCGUGGGGGAUAACGUAGGGAAACUUACGCUAAUACCGCAUACGACCUACGGGUGAAAGCAGGGGAUCUUCGGACCUUGCGCGAUUGAAUGAGCCGAUGUCGGAUUAGCUAGUUGGCGGGGUAAAGGCCCACCAAGGCGACGAUCCGUAGCUGGUCUGAGAGGAUGAUCAGCCACACUGGAACUGAGACACGGUCCAGACUCCUAGGGGAGGCAGCAGUGGGGAAUAUUGGACAAUGGGCGCAAGCCUGAUCCAACCAUACCGCGUGGGUGAAGAAGGCCUUCGGGUUGUAGAGCCCUUUUGUUGGGAAAGAAAAGCAGCAGGUUAAUACCCCGCUGUUCUGACGGUACCCAAAGAAUAAGCACCGGCUAACUUCGUG
Molecule: ribosomal RNA, 492 nt
Filed under: uncultured bacterium
Lineage: Bacteria
Description: partial 16S ribosomal RNA
Rfam family: Bacterial small subunit ribosomal RNA
Source: RNAcentral